CCCGCACAAGCGGUGGAGCAUGUGGUUUAAUUCGACGCAACGCGCAGAACCUUACCAGCCCUUGACAUGCCUCGGAAGUGGACGAGAGAUCGACCACGCUCUUCGGAGCCGGGGACACAGGUGCUGCAUGGCUGUCGUCAGCUCGUGUCGUGAGAUGUUGGGUUAAGUCCCGCAACGAGCGCAACCCUCGCCUUCAGUUGCCAUCAUUUAGUUGGGCACUCUGGAGGGACUGCCGGUGACAAGCCGGAGGAAGGUGGGGAUGACGUCAAGUCCUCAUGGCCCUUACGGGCUGGGCUACACACGUGCUACAAUGGUGGUGACAGUGGGCUGCGAUGGGGUGACCCUGAGCAAAUCCCAAAAAGCCAUCUCAGUUCGGAUUGCACUCUGCAACCCGCCUGCAUGAAGAUGGAGUUGCUAGUAACCGCAGGUCAGCUAUACUGCGGUGAAUACGUUCCCGGGCCUU
This 463-nucleotide ribosomal RNA is filed under the name uncultured Hyphomicrobiaceae bacterium. Its description in RNAcentral is "bacterial SSU rRNA". It matches the Rfam family "Bacterial small subunit ribosomal RNA", at positions 920 to 1382 of the family's 1533-position model. Lineage: Bacteria; Pseudomonadati; Pseudomonadota; Alphaproteobacteria; Hyphomicrobiales; Hyphomicrobiaceae. The record is from RNAcentral.